This is an RNA transcript of Quercus lobata, 2667 nucleotides long. It is a transcript of the gene named G-type lectin S-receptor-like serine/threonine-protein kinase At4g27290, with no coding region annotated. The transcript is spliced from 8 exons. NCBI's taxonomy places the organism in Eukaryota, Viridiplantae, Streptophyta, Magnoliopsida, Fagales, Fagaceae. The record is from RefSeq and is a predicted model, not a curated record.
AGUAAUUUAUAAACAGAAACAGUCAGACCGGAGCUCUUUAGCUCUCUCUCUCAAUCGAGCGCGGGCCAUUUUCAGCAAGGAGCAGACCAGCUGUUCGUCUACUGACCACACCGACGAGAGGAAGUGCCUUUGCAAAUGCCGCCGAUCGAAGCCCAUUUUCAGUGAUGGAAGAACGCUGGUCAGCAAAGAUGGAAGCUUUGAACUGGGUUUCUUCAGUCCUGGUAGUUCCAAGAAUCAUUACUUGGGAAUAUGGUACAAGAGUAUCCCAGUUAAAACUUUCGUUUGGGUUGCAAACCGACUCAACCCAAUCACUGACUCAUCUGGCUUGUUGAAAAUAAACAGCACAGGCAAUCUUGUGCUUAUGAGUCAGAAUGAGAGUGUUGUUUGGUCGAUAGGAUUACAAAAACAAGCUAGGAAUCCUGUGUUACAGCUAUUAGACUCUGGAAAUCUUGUACUAAGAGAUGGAAAUUCAGGAAUCUUUCUGUGGGAGAGCUUCGACUAUCCGUCUGAUACAUUUUUACCAGGAAUGAAGAUGGGAUGGGACUUAAGGAAAGGUAUUAAGUGGCGUCUUACAGCAUGGAAAAGUCCAGAUGAUCCAUCUCCUGGGGAUUUCACAUAUGGGAUAGAAAUGCAUCCAUACCCCGAGCCUGUUAUUCAGAAAGGGACCAGCAAGUUCUACCGUACAGGCCCAUGGAAUGGUCUUCAGUUCAGUGGUUCACCGGAUCUAAAGCCCAAUCCAAUUUACGACUACUUCUUUGUUUCGAAUGAGUAUGAAGUGUACUAUACCUACAACCUCAAAAAUAAAUCAGUAAUCUCAAGAAUAGUUUUGAACCAAACUAGCAAUACACGUGAACGCUACAUAUGGAUUGAAGCUAGUCAAGUUUGGCAUCGCUAUACAUCAGUACCUAGAGACUAUUGUGACUAUUACGGCCUUUGUGGAUCCAAUGGAAAUUGUAUCAUUAGUGGAUCACCGGUCUGCCAAUGUUUACAAGGAUUCAAGCCUAAAUUACCGGAAAAAUGGAGCUUAAUGGACUGGUCUCAAGGUUGUGUACGCAAUAAACCUCUGAGCUGCGAUAAAGAUGGAUUUCUCAAAUUUGUUGAUUUGAAAUGGCCAGAUACUUCAUAUUCUUGGGUGAAUCAAAGUAUGAGCCUCAAUGAAUGCAGGGCCAAGUGCUUGAACAACUGUUCAUGUAUGGCUUAUACAAACUCAGAUAUCAGAGGAAGUGGUAGUGGCUGUGCCAUGUGGUUUGGUGAUCUAAUGGAUAUUAGACAGUUUCCUUCUGGUGGGCAAGAUUUAUACAUCAGAAUGCUGGCUUCAGAGCUAGAGGCAAGUCAUGUUCAUAAGAUAAAUAAAGCAGUGAUAGUUGCUGCCACCCUUGCUGCAGUUUGUGGAAUGCUCUUAGUUGGCCUUUACAUUUGCAGAAGCAGAACAAACUUAAAAGUAAAAACAGAGAGAAGUGGAAUUAUGGAUUAUCAGAACAAUGAAGGCCAUAACGAAGACCUUGAGCUCCCUUUCUUUGACCUAUCCACAAUAGUUUGUGCCACUGAGAACUUUGCAAUCAACAAGAAGAUUGGUGAAGGUGGUUUUGGAUCUGUUUACAUGGGUAUACUAGAAGAUGAACGAGAAAUUGCUGUCAAAAGGCUUUCAAGGAGUUCUGGACAAGGAUUGAAUGAAUUCAAAAAUGAAGUAAGACUAAUUUCCAAGCUUCAACACCGAAAUCUUGUAAAACUUCUUGGUUAUUGCAUUCAAGAAGAAGAGAAACUGCUGGUUUAUGAAUACAUGCCCAACAAAGGCCUGGACUCCUUCAUUUUUGAUCAAAUGAAAGGCAAAUUGUUAGAUUGGUCCAAGCGCUUCCACAUUAUGUGGGAUUGCUCGGGGGCUUCAAUAUCUUCACCAAGAUUCUAGAUUGAGAAUUAUACAUAGAGAUCUCAAGGCAAGUAAUGUUUUACUUGAUAGUGAGAUGAGUCCUAAAAUUUCAGACUUUGGCAUGGCUAAAACUUUUGGAGGAGAUCAGUCAGACGGAAACACAAAGAGAGUGGUUGGAACUUAUGGUUACAUGGCACCAGAAUAUGCUUUUGAUGGACUCUUCUCAACAAAAUCUGAUGUCUUUAGUUUUGGGAUUUUAUUGUUGGAGAUCAUAAGCGGGAAGAAAAGUAGAGGGUUUUAUCAUCCAAACAAGCAUAACCUUAUUGGACAUGCAUGGAUACUGUGGAAUGAGGGCAGGCCUUUGGAAUUGCUUGAUGAAUUUUUGGGAGAAUCAUGCACAAUGUCAGAAGUAUUGCGUUGCAUCCAUCUAAGUCUCUUAUGCGUGCAACAACGUCCUGAGGAUAGACCAAGCAUAUCUUCUAUCGUUGUGAUGCUAGGCAGUGAGAGUGCAUUGCCUCAACCCAAACAACCUGGUUUCUUCUUGGAAAAGGAUUCAAGUGAAGGGCAAUUUCUCAUGAGUAAACGCAAAUCUUCUUCAACCAAUGAAAUCACAAUCACAUCGUUGGAGGCUCGCUAACAAUUUUUUACCAAUAUCAUACAACAUUGUCAAUGUAGAAUUAUAAUCAUCAUCAAAUAUUGUAAACUGUAUUCCUACUCUCAAGUAAGAGAGUCCGCAUCAGUGGAUAUAAAAUUUUGUAAAUUUUGCAACAAAAAAAAAAAACCUACAUUUUCUAUUUUAC